RNAcentral lists this non-coding RNA (228 nucleotides) under Enterococcus durans. RNAcentral's name for it is "T-box sequence". It matches the Rfam family "T-box leader". Rfam says of the family: Uncharged tRNA acts as the effector for transcription antitermination of genes in the T-box leader family. The record is from RNAcentral. Lineage: Bacteria; Bacillati; Bacillota; Bacilli; Lactobacillales; Enterococcaceae.
UAUGAAACUUUGACGAGAUAAGUAGCUGGGAAAGAAACCAUAGAGAGUCUGCGAAUGGUGAAAGCAGAUGUUUCGGAAUCAGCAAAAAUGGUCUUUGAGUUAUCACGUGUGAGGGAAACUUAGCAAGUGACGGGUACGCCCGAUAGCGCGUGAAGGGAUGACAGUCCCUUGCUGAGAUAAUCUUUAUAAUUAUGAACAAAGGUGGUAACGCGAGCAUUCGCCCUUUCA